CUCCCGCUGCUCCCGGCCACGCCAGGCGCUGCGACAGCGACAGCGACAGCCACGCUGCCCGAGCCCCUCGUCGCCAGUCGUGCCCUCCCCCGUGCGGGUGCCAGCUCAAGGCUCAGCCCCAAACUGGGACGGUCACAUACCACGGGCGAGGCUGGGCUGGGCUGGGUGUCCUGCUCAGGGCCACUGGGAUCAUCCUGGAAUUAUCCACAAAGGGAAUGCCAGGAGCUCUGCCAGCAGCAGGUGAAGCCUCCCGGUGGCACCUCAGUGGGGACACCUCCGUCUGUGACAUCUCUGUGCCUGGGAGCUGAGUUUUGGGAAGGGGCAGCUCAUGUUCCCUGUGCUCCCAAGGCUGAUCCAGGCUGGAAUUCUCCAGCGGGAGCCGCACGGAGCUCGGAGCCAGCUCCCCGCCCCGGUUGCACAAGCGGCCCCGGGGCGCAGCGACGAUCCCAGCCUGUUUACCACCGCAGCCACCUGCUGCUCCCCCGGCUCCCAGCGCCCUGCCCGAGCCCGGCAGGAAGAGCUGGAGCUCCUGGAUCCAGCCCCUAUAGCUGGACAGGGCCACCAGCUGUCCCCAGAGUCCCCAGGGACAAGCACAGGGCAUGGUGACAAUCCCCAGGACAGGGGGGUGCAGCGCCCUGAGCCUCAGCAUCCCCCAGAGGUGUUUUGGAAAAGCAAAUUGGGAUGGAGUGGGAUGAGGAUUUCCUCCCCAGGGCCACCCCGAGGAUUUUGGCUCCUGGGGACAGCACCCACCGUGUCCCUGGUAUGAAAAUCCCCCCUGAGCAGCUCCCACGAGGCCUGGCAGCAGCCAAAUCACCUUCCAGCACCCCCAAAAAUCCCCGGGGGUGGAGCAGAGAAACUCCAGCACGGGCUGGGGCUCCUGCCAGCACAGAGGGAGAUGUGGGGGAGAUGGAGGAGAAACUGGGAGCCUCUCCAUGAGUGUUUUGAAUGCACAACCAUCAAA
Haemorhous mexicanus (house finch) is the source of this 961-nucleotide long non-coding RNA. RefSeq lists it as uncharacterized. The transcript has 2 exons. NCBI's taxonomy places the organism in Eukaryota, Metazoa, Chordata, Aves, Passeriformes, Fringillidae. The record is from RefSeq and is a predicted model, not a curated record.